GAUGGCAAUUUAUUGUAUUCCUUCUAGCUGAAAGCUUUCUUUCCUGAUUAUGGAUUUUCUAGGCCUUUAACAAACUUAUUUAAAAAUAAUUCUCCUCAUGUUUGUUCCCACCAGUAUAAUUCAACUUCCCUUCGCUUUAAGAAGUAAUGCUUUGGUUUCAGUCUGUACAGUUAUAUAUUUACUAAGUAGGGCUGCUGUCUGCCUGCAUGGGGAGUACGAUGUCAAGCAGAGGCUCCUAGGAGGCCAUCAGUAAUCAGAAUGGUUGAGGCGGGCAGCACAGCUCCACAAACAGCCUGACCCAUGGAUGCCAGCCAGAGGAACUGCCCCCAGCUCUCCUGCAGCCCUCCGGCUGUCCUCGGGGGCCACCCCAGCUGCAGCUGCUCCGUUUGCUGGUGCCGCCUCUUCAUGGUGCGUCUCCUAGCUGGAGCACUGCCCACGGAGCCGAGACCACCUCCCUUUGGCUGCGGGGGCUGCGGGCACUGCCUGGUGCUGACCACCCGGGGCUGCGAGGAGCUGGUUCAAGUCUGGUCCCGCAAGGACGUCCAGGGAGGCCGAGACUCCUUUCAUUGGAAAAAUACAAAUGGAAAUGAGAUAAACCCUUAAACAGAGCUAAGCAAGAGAUGAAGCAUAUAGUCACAGAGUUGACAGCAGCUUUGACUUGCAGGGAUCUUCACUCCAGUCAUUUCCAAUAGUUGAAAUUGAGUGUAAUUUAGUUUUUAGGCAUGUAAAAAUUAACUGUCUCAGAAAAUAAACAUGCCAUGUACUUAAUAAAGCA
Molecule: long non-coding RNA, 775 nt
Filed under: Anser brachyrhynchus (Pink-footed goose)
Lineage: Eukaryota; Metazoa; Chordata; Aves; Anseriformes; Anatidae
Description: lncRNA (ENSABRG00000017608.1)
Source: RNAcentral